UCUGUGUGCUCCAAGAUGACUCAGCCAGCUUUCCCUUCAAGUCAUUUAUGCCUCAAAUCCCAUCCUGAGGGGUCCAGAGGCAGGCACUGAGCUGCUACCACAGAGGCACUGAGCUUCUCCGUGCCGGUAACACCCACUGACGCCAUUUUGUUUUCCCGCCACAGGAGGGCUGCCUCUCAGGCCAGGCCCUCACCCCACAGCCUCCCCAGAUCCGUGUGCGUUGGGGAGAGGGGUUGCAUCUCACCUCACAUACCGUAUAUUCAAAUAUAUAUCAAUGUAUGGGUAUGACAUAGUUGUGAGAGAUUGCUGCCAGGCUCUGGGAUUUGUAUGUGGUUGAUUUCAGAGGCAUUGUCAUCGUGACAGCUGGGGAAGGCUCUGGGGAAGCCAAGCUUGGAGGGGAGAGUUUGGCAGAGGAUCCCGGGUGCCCUGUGAGGGGACUGAAUGCCAUGCAGUGCCACUAGCCACUCCUGAGUUCCCAUUUAAGAAGAGACAUCUCAUCCCAGGAGCUGCAGGGCAAACUCCCUCUCCACACACAGAGGAACAUGAUGUUGCUAGGCAAGGGCAGGACAGAGCAGGAAAAGUGCAAGACCUUAGCCACUUGCUGCAAGAAAAUCCAGAAACACCCCUGUUUUCUUGUACCCUGACUGCCACACUGAGUAUCUUAAAAAGAAGACAAGGCAGAGCAAGUAGUCCAGCCUGACACAUCAUUGGCUUUGUGCUCAACUAAAUGAAGUCAGAAUUCAGACCUCUUAUAGCAGGUAAGAAAAAUAAAUGAUGCCUUCCAUGUUACUGUUGUCAAUCCACUGCUUUCUUCC
Molecule: long non-coding RNA, 815 nt
Filed under: Gallus gallus (chicken)
Lineage: Eukaryota; Metazoa; Chordata; Aves; Galliformes; Phasianidae
Description: long non-coding RNA NONGGAT003435
Source: RNAcentral